Molecule: ribosomal RNA, 450 nt
Filed under: uncultured bacterium
Lineage: Bacteria
Description: partial 16S ribosomal RNA
Rfam family: Bacterial small subunit ribosomal RNA
Source: RNAcentral
CCUACGCGGCAGCAGUGGGGAAUUUUGGACAAUGGGGGCAACCCUGAUCCAGCCAUGCCGCGUGCGGGAAGAAGGCCUUCGGGUUGUAAACCGCUUUUGUCGGGGAAGAAAUCCUCUGGGCUAAUACCCCGGGGGGAUGACGGUACCCGGAGAAUAAGCACCGGCUAACUACGUGCCAGCAGCCGCGGUAAUACGUAGGGUGCAAGCGUUAAGCGUAAUUACUGGGCGUAAAGCUGUGCAAGGCGGAUGUGAAAUCCCCGGGCUCAACCUGGGAACUGCAUUUGUGACUGCAUAGCUGGAGUGCGGCAGAGGGGGAUGGAAUUCCGCGUGUAGCAGUGAAAUGCGUAGAUAUGCGGAGGAACACCGAUGGCGAAGGCAAUCCCCUGGGCCUGCACUGACGCUCAUGCACGAAAGCGUGGGGAGCAAACAGGAUUAGAUACCCGGGUAGUC